GCAUAGCGGGGCCGUUCCUCCGUCCUCAGCUCUGGCGGGAGGCUGCGGAGAGCUGGGCUCGGCUCCGCUCCGGGUCGCAGCGACGACGGGCCAGAGAGUGCGGCCUUAAAUUGCAGCACGGGAGGUGCAGGGUGGAUGUUAGGGAAGGUCUGUGCUCAGAAGGAGCAGGGAUGUGCUGGCACAGCCGCACAGGGAGCGGUGGGGUCACCGUGCAUGGUGGUGUUCAGUGAGAUGAGGCACUGAGGGAUGUGGGCACGGUGGGUUGGGUUGGACUGGAUGAUCACAGAGCUCUUUUCCAGCCUUAAUGCUUCUAAGAUUUUGCUUAGAGAAAGAUAGCAGCUGUUACCUCCCUAUUUUGUGAAAUAAUUCAUUAGAGAUCUGAAAACCACGUCUCGUUGCAGCUGGAGCAGCUUGGCAGUCGGUAACUAAGCAGCUGAUAGGAGCAAGCAGGGCUUGAGAGCUCCGUGUAAGGCAUCUGUGUUCCUGGUGGAGCUGGAGGCAUUUAAGAACACGUCAGUGGUGGUCUGCAUGCACACAAAGAGGAUGACAAAAAUAACGAAACAUUGAAACUUGCAAUCAGCAGUUCUGGAUGUUGCAGCCUAAAAUACACACGAGAUACCGACCUGUUGGGAUGCUGAGCUCCAGCUGCUUGAUUCUUUGAUACACAGUGCUCCAUUUGGCCACCGAAUGUGCUGCCCUUGUCACAAAUUCCUGCAGGACAGAUUCCACGUUAGGUGAAUGAUCUGGUGGUGUGGGGUUUGUGAGGAGCAGGGAAGUAUGUGGGGUGUGGAGUCAGUGGGAAGUGUAAAUCCUGCCCUGAAUGAGAAGAGAAGCGCGCAGUGUGAGCAGUGAGACAGAACACGAAAAGAUGCUGUCUUCAUUUUUUGCACUACUGGUGAUUUUUGAUCACGAGCUUGAAUCUGUCACAGUGAGCGCCUUGGGUUUGUGUACAUGUGCUUGUCACUGAGCUCAGAGAGCAGCUUGUUGGCAUCAGGGAGGUGAAGCGAUCCCUCAGCUGUGUUAAGACCAUAAAAGCCAGAGGAUAAACAUUCUUCUUGUGCUGCUUUUCAGGUUCUGGGCAAGAUGACCACGCUCACACGACAGGACCUUAAUUUUGGGCAAGUUGUUGCAGAUGUUCUUUCAGAAUUUCUAGAAGUGGCCGUUCAUCUCAUCUUGUACGUUAGAGAAGUUUACCCUAUUGGGAUCUUUCAGAAGAGGAAAAAAUACAACGUGCCCGUCCAGAUGUCCUGCCACCCAGAGCUCAAUCAGUACAUCCAGGACACGUUGCACUGUGUAAAGCCACUGCUUGAGAAGAAUGACGUGGAGAAAGUUGUAGUUGUAAUCCUGGAUAAAGAGCACCACCCAGUGGAGAGAUUUGUCUUCGAAAUCACCCAGCCGCCCCUGCUUUCCAUUAGUUCAGAGUCCCUGCUGUCCCACGUGGAGCAGUUACUGCGUGCCUUCAUCCUGAAGAUAAGCGUGUGUGAUGCUGUGCUGGACAACAAUCCCCCAGGCUGCACCUUCACAGUUCUGGUUCACACACGAGAGGCUGCUACACGCAACAUGGAGAAGAUCCAGGUGAUAAAGGAUUUCCCAUGGAUUCUUGCUGAUGAACAGGAUGUGCACAUGCACGACCCCCGGCUUAUCCCACUGAAAACUAUGACUUCUGACAUCUUAAAGAUGCAGCUUUAUGUAGAAGAACGAGCCCACAAAGGCACCUGAUUUCAACUCUUCCUUUUCUUCAAGCCUCAUCAGAUCUUCCAGCGGAGUAAGAUCUCUCACCAACCAUACCUUGAUAGCCCAGCCUCCUCAGCUGGCCUUCUGGAUGAAUGUAGAGCAGCUGCUGCCUCUUUAUUUCAAGUGCUCUUACCAGUGUAUAUAGAACUGACUUGGAAUGUGGAGCCAGAGCCUGUUCCCAUGUACACUCAUGUGUGAGAGACAUCUCCAUUGCACACUGGUAGUGCUAACCAGGGAUCUGCUGUGUGCUCCACUAGAGCAAUGGUCUGAUACCAUGCGCGAGUGAGGCCUUAUGUAGCAUCUGUCCACUGUGACUGUCCCAAGUAGUCUUCAAUAAAUAUCAAGUUUUACUCCAGUUGAAA
RNA transcript from Centrocercus urophasianus (Greater sage-grouse), 2096 nucleotides. It is a transcript of the gene named mitotic arrest deficient 2 like 2, with no coding region annotated. The record is from RefSeq and is a predicted model, not a curated record. NCBI's taxonomy places the organism in Eukaryota, Metazoa, Chordata, Aves, Galliformes, Phasianidae. The transcript has 9 exons.